Molecule: unclassified non-coding RNA, 1742 nt
Filed under: Hevea brasiliensis (rubber tree)
Lineage: Eukaryota; Viridiplantae; Streptophyta; Magnoliopsida; Malpighiales; Euphorbiaceae
Source: RNAcentral
CUUUUCCACACGCUUAGUGCUUAUUCUUCAGCCUUUCACAAUCCAACUUUCCGUAGGCAGAUGCCUUAACUCCUGCAGACUUGAGUCUAAUCAGAGGUGUACCUGUGGAUUUUUAUGUGAUCUUAUAGCUCCUGAAAUUAGAAUUGGAAUAGGAUUAGGAUUAGGAAUUGGAAUUGGAAUUAGAAUGGGCAUUGGUAUUGGGUUGAUGAAUUUAAUUUUAUUAAUUUUUUUGACAUGGACAUAUAUAUCCACCGCUGAAGGAAGCAAAGCGAAGGCAGCUCAGCUAAACUCUCGGUGCACCGUGCCUGGAACUUGUUGAGCACUUCGAUGGAGAUUAAAAUUCAAGUGAUGGAGACCUUUCAAGAGAAGAGUAAUGGCAAUCCCGUCCAGAGGAGCUUGGAUGACGGCCAGCGGAGGGGAAAACACAAAGGGUUGAGGAGGCUGACGAAGAGGGCAGAGGAAAAACCAACUUAGAAACCAAAAAGCUGGGGUUGACUCUUCUCCCUUUUGCCAAACAAGGAAACUUCCCUUUUCUCUCCUUCUUCCGCGUCAACAAAUAGAAGUUUUCCAUUCCAACCAACAAGUUAAAGAAACAAACAUUUCUCACCGUCAUUUCAAUUUGGGGAUCAAGAUUUUGGCACUUUAUAUAUGAAGCUUUUGUCUAUGGAAAUUCCCUUUUUGCUUAAUGAAGAGUUAAGCUUCUUGACUUAUCUUCUUCCAAACUUCUCUUGGCUCUGGUGAUUGAGGAGGGAAGACCUCAGAUUUACCUUCAUGGGGUCGUGUUUUAGUUCAGGAACUAAAACCCAAACUGAUCCUCAAUUUGGUAUGUAUGCAAUUUCAUAUAUUUCUGAUGCAUUUGUAUUUUCUGCUUUUAAGAUUGCUAGUUAGCAAUUAAUAUAACAUAUUUAUGUUUACGUUCGAUUCUUUUUGUUUACUUCAUUGAAAUUUGCUCUGUUUGGAUGGUGAGAAAAGGUAGGAUAUGGAAAAAAAGAAAAAUAAAAAGCUUUCACUUUUAGCCCCCAAAUUUAGCCUAUUCUGAGAUCCAAUUUAGCUUUUAGAGCAUAAUGGGUUACCAUUUACUUUUAGCCACCAAUCACCAUCGAAGAAUUUAGCCCAUAUUCCAUCAUUUAGUCGUGUUCUUUUGGGUUCAUCAGAAUUUGAGCAGACAAAGAAUUGAGCCAAAUAAAAUUGGCAGAUCUACUGGGUUCUUCAUCUUUCUAACCCUAGAUUUUUCUAAUUACACAGCAUGAAACCCAUAUAACUGACCCCAACUAAUUUGUGAUUAAAACUUGUUGAGUUGACUUGGAGAUUUUGAUUGCAGAAAUUAAUUCUCAAUCACGUAUUUUAUAUUUGUGUAUAUUUACAUGUGUUAUGGAUAUCUAUAGAGGUGAAUUGUAAAUGCAUUGGCAAAGGUGAGAAUGAUAUGAGCAAGUGUAGUAGCAAGGUCUCAUCUUCUAUUCCCAGAACAGAAGGUGAGAUCUUGCAGUCACCCAAUUUGGAGAUCUUUGGUUUUAGUGAACUAAAAGAAGCCACAAGCAACUUCUGUCAAGAUUUUGUGCUGGGAAAAGAUGAUGUUGGUUUGGUCUUCAAAGGGUGGAUUGAUAAGGAUUCACUAAGGCCUGCGAGGCCUGAGACUGGGAUGCCCAUUGCUGUAAAGAGGCUUAACCAAAAGGGCAUCCGAGGUCAACAAGAAUUGUUGGCAGAAAUAAAAUACAUGGGACAGCUACAUCACCCAAAUCUUG